GUCAACGGCCAUACCAAGUAGAAAAAAACCCGGUCUCUACAACUCCUGGCCGUUAAGCUGCGUCGGGUCCCGUUUGUAGUUAGGAGGGUGACCACUUGGGAAUACGGAAUGCUGUUGGCA
This 120-nucleotide ribosomal RNA is filed under the name Daphnia magna. The record is from RNAcentral. Lineage: Eukaryota; Metazoa; Arthropoda; Branchiopoda; Diplostraca; Daphniidae.